UGUCUAUCGGGACAUCGCAGUGGUUGUCACAGGCUUGAAGGGAGUAUCGGGUCGUGACAUGAUCCUUGUAGAAAUGGGACAUGACAGGGGGCUAUUAGGGUGGUUUUUUAAAGGAUCCAACUUCCUUUGUUAUUGAGGUAAUAAGGUCUAAUCAUAUGGUUAUAUCCUCAUUGUUAUUUUAGUGCUCAAAUCAGCAAGAAAAAAAUCUUUGAAGGGUACGGUGCGUUUUUGUUUGUUCAUUUUCUUCCGCUGUGAUUUUAUUUAACAUGAAGUGGAUCCUUGGAGACAAUAUCCUCGAUGUCUUUUACCACAAAUAGAACAUGAUGAUCUAUCUUGAUGAGACUAUGUAGUAGUCUACUUCCUAGGUGGUUUGGCAGCCUUUUUACCCUUCUGAAGACUAUCAUCAAAGCCACUCCCCUGCUAGGAUGUUUGUGAAUCCCUAUGUUGGCCUUGUUGGCACUUUUUCUUAGCCAUCUUGGGCUUAUCUCCUCUAGUCCUCAUCUCUUUCAUCUUAAGUCUUUAAGCACGGUUCACUACCUCAGAGUAGUUGGUGAACUCCUAGGGUGUUAUAGUGUUGUAUAGUGGCUAUACCAAACCAUUAACAAACCUUAGGACCCUCAUCUCCUCUGUAGUAUGAAAUCCCACCUUGAGUGAGAGGAUAAGCUAGGCGAUAACUGUAACACCCCGUAACCUUGUUUAGCAGUCAAUAAGACCCUAUAGACAAGACGAAGGGUCACUUGAUGUAAAUUUAAAUGUCAAAAAGCGGUUAUGGGUGAGAAAAAUAUUUUAAAAUAAAAUAUUAUUUUACAAAUAAAAUAAUAUUAAAAUAUGAAUAUUUUAUUAAUUAAGGGAAUCAGUUUGAAGAAGGAUUAUUUGAUCAAUUUAAGUGGGGGAGAAGAAAAACGAAUGAAUUUUGGAGAUAAAUGACGUAAAUGAGACUUGUGUGUUUUAUUAAAUCGAGCUAGUGCAGGUAAAUAAAUAUUUAAAUAUUAUGGUGAUACCGCGUUGAAAUGCAACUUUGAUAUUUUGGUUGUAUACGUGUAAAGGAGGAAAGAUAGAAGGAAAUUAGAAUUUUUAAACGUGUCGGAAGGACCAAAUUUUAAAAUAUGAAAGUUGGAGGGUUGUGUAGUAAAUAAAAUGAAGUUAAGGAUUUACAUGUAAAUUUUAAUAUUUAGAGGGAAUAAAAUAAUAAAAAGAAUUGGGAGGUGGUAGAUGGGAGUGAAGAAAAGUCAAAGACAAGUAAGUAAAAAAAAAAAAAAGAAAGAAGAUGAAGUAAAGAGGUAGGGGCUGGCCAAGUAAACCAUAAAAGGAAUAAAAGAUGUAGUGGCCAGCCAAAACAAUAAAGAGUGAAGAAAAAAAAAUAAAUAAAGAAAAAAGGGGACAUGACAAGCAAGCUUGUCAUGUCCGGCUUUCCCAAAAAAAAUAUGCAGUCAUGUUAAGCAAAAAUUUUGCCUUUUACCCUUUACAUUGGCGGUGUAGGAGGGAAAGAAAAAAGGAGGGAGAGCUGGUGAAAAAAAAAAAUUAUUUUCUCUUGGCUCUGUCAAUAGCCACUUAUGGAGCAAAUAAAAAGGGAAAAAAAAGUUGAUUUUGAGGGAGGAAAGAAAGAGCUGUGUUGCUGGGUUUGAGAGAAGAAAGAGAGGUUGUGUUAUUGCUAGUUUGUGAAGAAAGAUGGAGGCUGUGUUGGCUGCCAAUUUGAGAAGGAAAAAGAGGGGGCUGUAAGCUGCUAGUGGAGAGGAUGGAGCUUGGGUAUUCGUCGCCGGCUAGAGAGGAUAGAGCUUGGAGUAGUUGCCAUCAGUUUAAGGCAAAGAAAAAGCCCAAUCGGCGGUAAAAGAGAUAGAGAGAAGGCAAAUCGGGCGGUGCAAGUGAGGAGGAGGGAAAGGUCGACCAGCUAAAAAAAAAAAAGAAAAAGAAAGAAAAGAAGUGAAGAAGAAAAAGAAAUGAAAUGAAAAAAAAAUGGGCAUAGCCCAAUAAAAAAAAGGGCAUGGCCCAAUAAGAAUAAAUGGGAGGAGCCCAUGGAAAGGGCCCAAUGGCAACAAGGAAAGAAAAGUGCAAAAGAGAAAAUAAACGUGAAGACUUGGGCUUACUUAGCCCAAUUUAGGAAGUGCCUAAGCAAGAUAGGGCACUAUAAUGGCAUGUCGGAAGAGGUGACGAUUGACUAGCAAGUUGAAAUAGCGACGUAGCGUCCCGUUAUUGUGAGGUGAGUGGGUGCUAAAUUUUAAAACUAUAUUCCUGUAACAUAUUAUAUAUGUUACACUUGAUAGUUGACGAAAUUGUGGACAACAUGAGUUAGUAGAAAGCCUUAGGUUGUUUGUGUUUGUGACACGGAUUUUAAAUUCAUUUUUUUUAUAAUAUAUAAAAAUAUAUAUACGUACAUGUUUUUAAAUACGGGGAAACAAACCUUUGACUAGCUUUCACUUCAAAAUCAUACCUUGCAAGUUUGUGUGAUGUUUAGGCCAAUGGCCUUUGUAUUGAUUUAUAAAACUUGAUGAUAAAUUAUUUAUUUCACUUAGCAUGCUGAUUUGGUAAAUAUGCCAUGCUUUGAAAUAAGUUAUGCAUAACAUUCAUUUUCUGAUUAUACGGCUUUUAAUCUGUCAUGUUAUGUAAAUGUAUUAAAUUGCAAUGAUUUUAUUUUAACAUGAUUGAGAUACUCUGGGUAGGACUUGUUACCACACCAAGUCAAGUGUGGUCUUUGUGCACAAAAUAGUAAUUGUCGAUUAUUGAUAUUUAAUUUAAAAAGGGGGACCUGAAGCCUCAAUUUAUAUAUGGUGGCAUGGGUAGUUCCUACGAGUAGGUAAAGGGGGACAUGAAGCCUCGAUUUAUAUAUGGUGACGUGGGUAGUCCCCAUGAAUAGGUAAAAGGGGACCUGAAGUCCCGAUUUAUAUAUGGUGGCAUGGGUAGUUCCCACGAGUAGGUGACAAUGUCUGAGAGAGUAAGCCUAAGGGCUAUAUUAAGCCUACCCGAGGAUGAUACUCACUUGUAGAUUUUAUUACACAAUGCAUGGCAUUAACACUUGAAUUUUACUAAUGAAUGGCAAGUGAAAUUUACAUAUUUAUUGGUGAUCAGUUAUUUCACAUUUUUAUGUUUGAGAUUCUUUAUUCUACACUCGCCAUUGGAUUCACUAUUGACUGGAUAUGAAAGUUGAAAGAUUUUCUAGUACCUUAAAUAGAACAAUUUUCAUAUAUGUUUACUUGUGAUUCAUUAUUUUUAAGACUCGCAAGGUAUAAAAGUAAAAUCUCUCAGUUUAAUGGAGUGUGUUUUCUACGCUUACUCUUCGAUUUAUAAACAUUCCAUCUUUAUGUUUGUUUCCCCUCUUCGCCUACUCACGGGGUCGAUGAUGAUCAUUGAGUCAAUGAGACUCACACCCCUCUUAUUUUCCCAUUUUACAGAUAGAGAUAAGUCUAGUGUGUAAUCAUCAAUGCAUACGGUCCACUACAGAGUAGGUAAACGCAUAUUCUAGCCCCGCUCCAAGUCGCUCCGUUAUUUUGGGUUGUGUUAGAACGAAAUUUGCUAGAUGUUGAAAAAUGUUGUUAACUUAUAAACGUGAAUUGUUAUUAUUUUGAAUAGAGUAGAUAGUAAUUUAAUUAUUAAUAUUCGCUUACGCUCGUGAUUAUAUGUAUUUAAUAAAUCUAGUAGAAGUUAUUGGUAAUUUCUCUUAUUGUUUUGUAGGAAAUUUGAUGAAAUAGGCUCAUUUGAUGAAAAUCUGUGCAAGUAUGGUAAUGGCUUUAUUCAUAUAUAUUUUGGUAUUUUGAUCAUAUCUCUCUCUACAAAACUCCAAAUGAGGUGAUUCUUCAACCACUAGAAUUCUAAGAGGAAGGGCUAAAACCUUUAUGUUUACCACUCUGCCCAGUUCUGAUUGGAUCAUGGUCAAAAUAUAUGUCUAAGUUGAAGCACUAUAGCAAUAUGCAUGGACUGAACAUCAUAUAGUAUUUGGAGCAUAUCUUUCUGUCACGACCCAAAUUCCGGGCCAUGACCGGCACAACCAAUGGACGUAAUCCACUAAACCCAAGCAAGCCUAUUAUUUAUCUUACUUAUAAUUCCAUCUAAUAUCACUAAGUUAUAUUUCAUAAUUUUGAAUCAAAAAAGUGAUAUACAUUGCCAACUCGUACUGGCAUUACUCCUUAAAAAUUUACAUACAAUGUCUACAACAUGUAUUCUAAUAAUUUACAUUAAGUUCGUCUAUACAAAACAAAAUAACACUCGACUUUCAGCGGAGUGACUCGGAUGAAUAUACAGCUACCGAAUGCCGAGACACCUACCAAAAGAUGGACACAGGUCUACAAAGACACCUCGUCCUAGUUACCAGCUGCCUCAUGAUUCGAAAACAUGAAUUUGAAAAUGGUGAGUAUAAACCAAGUGAGUGAACAAGGAAGGGAGCAACAACAACAAGGGAGAAUUUAAAAUCAUGAUGCACUUGUUUCAAAACAAAGCAAUUUAGUUCCAUUCAUAUUAAAAGCCCCUCAUUUUAAACUUAACUCAUUUUGUCCUAAAUGUUGGAAGUCCAUGCUCAGAUAUGGUAGCAAAGAAGUGAAAAAUAGUGCAGCAAUUGGACAAGAUAGGAGACAAAAUAGAAAGUUUUUCGCUGCAGCGAAAUUGUUACCCAGAAACAUAAAGUUUUUCGCUGCAGCGAGAAUGAAUUUCGCUGCAGUGAGUUUUUGGCCAGUCUACCCCUCCAAACCUGAGAGUUUCUCGCUGCAACGAGAACCAGUUUUGGUGAAAGGUCCUUAAACCCGAGAGUUUCUAGCUGCAGCGAGCAUGAAUUUCGCUGCAGCGAAAACAGAGCAACAAGAGAAACAUUUUGCCUCACUUAACAAAAAGCCAUCCUGCUAAACUAACAAAAUCAACAUAAAACUCAUGAAAAUUCUCAAAGUACAAUGUGUCAAAUUUCACAUUUAUGUCAACCAUAUAUCACAUUCAUGAGCUUUCAUUUCAUAAAUCUAGAUAUGCAUAAUUACAUAGACAAACAUCAAUAUCAUCAUAAUCACUCCCGACACAUGUACAUCCCCCCACAUCGUGCACAUAGCCGGCACCAUCACGUGCAUCCCCCCACAUCGUGCACAAUCAGUGCUAUCGUGUACAUCCCCCCCACAUCGUGCACACGGGCACUAUCAUCAUCUAUCUCUCACUCCACCAUCAUCACUGACAUGUGCAUUCUCCACAUCGUGCGCACACAAGGUUACAGUCAUUAUAUACAAUAUCAUUCAUCAUGCACAACACACAUAUAUAUAUAUAUAUCAUCAUAAUACAAUAGUGCAUGAAUCCAUAGCAAUCACAUAUUACAACAUAAAACCAUUUUUCAAAAGCUUGUUCCCAAGGCAUUUGUUUUCAUGAAAAACUUGAUAAUUCAUUCAAAUGGGUGGCAAUUACAUAUAUUUCCCAAAACAAGUUCUGAAGGCAGUCCACUCACAGGUGUCGAAAAUUCGGAUUCCAGGUGCACUAGGACUAAUAGUCCUCAAGCGCAAUUCUUUUGCCUUUUUCGGACGUCUCACUACCUUGACAAAUAACAAAGUCGAGGAAUUUACUAUAUUGUCCCUAAAUUGAUAUAAACUAAUUUAAAUUACUAAUGCUUGAUAUGUAAAUGCAAAAAUACGUCCGAUUACCGCUUAAUCGCGGUAUCGAUUAAAUUCGACCGAUCACCCAAUUAAUUAGCGAUUGUGUCCAAAUCACCUCCAAAUUAAUCCAUUUCUCCUCUAAUACCUUAAGUUACCACAUACCAUUUAAAUAAAGCCAAAUUCAGCAUUAGAACCCUCACAAUUCCUUAUAUAAAAAUUUGGUCAUUUGGUGCACUAGCACCAAAAUUUUUUUCUACAUAACCGUUUCACCUAAUUCCUCAUUUUCCAAGCCAUUUUCCUUGAAAUAAAAACAAUCCCCCAUUGAUAGUCAGCCCUCAUGGUUCGACCAACAAGGAACCCUAGAGAAAUUGAAUAUUUCUUUUGUGUUUUUGUUCAUAACCAUGCUUAACUAUCCCUAAACACUAACAUAGUCUAAAAUCAAAUUAUUCCAACAACAAUUCCUCUUCCAUACCCAUUUUUCAGAAUUGAAUUCAUCAUGAUAACUCAAUAUUCAACCAUGGAAAUCAAGAACAAAAGCAUGGGUAAGCUAGGUAUCAAGGAGAAUUAAAGAAAUUUUAACUUACCUAGCUUGUUUCCUUGAUUUCUUCACUUUUUCUUUCAAUUUCCACCUAGGUUUUCUUGUUUUUCCCUUUGUUCUUCCUUUGUUCUUGUUUCUGGUUGCCUAGGCUGAAUAUGGUGAGAGAAUUGGGGAUUUAAUGGGCUGAUUUCUAUAGAAAAUAAUAAAAUAAUCAAGCAUGCCACGUGUCACAUGCUUAUUGGUCCAAUUUUUUUAACUUUUUGACUUUUUCUUUUAAUUUUCCUCUACAAAUAUUAUGGUAUUUAUCCAAUCCUACCACAAUUAAAAUCCCUUGGUCUUGACAAGUGCUGGGGGGAAAAAUUUACCGAUUUGCCCCCGAGAUGAAAAAAUUACGAUUUUGCCCCUAUACUCUGAAAUGUACCAUAAUCACAUUAUUUCUACUUUUCAACGUCAAAUAACACUAAUAUUGAUCAAUAUUAACAAAAUGGGGCAAAAAAAUUAUUUUAUAAAAAUUCUCAUUUAGUCCUCUAGUGCUCUAAAAAUACCGAGAAUUAUAAUUUUUCACUGCUAAACAUCAUUUUAUACUCCAAUAAUCAUAAUUAUAUUUGAUAUAAUUAUUCUUGGUCAAAUGUGAUCAAAUCUUGGCUAAAAAUCUCCAUUUUAUCAUCAAAUGGUAAAAUGAUCGUUUUGUCCCUAAUCAAUCAAUUUUCCUGAUGGACUCCAAACUGAACCUUGAACUCCAAAUCACUAUUCUAAGUCAUUCUGUGGGUUUUAGAAUUUUCAAAUUUCUCUUAGAAUUUCUAUUUGAACUAGUUCAAGGCUCAAUUUAACUUAGUUAUACCACUCGAUACAAUACCAUCUUUUAAUCGGGCUUGACAGGGUCUCACACUUUCAAUCCAAAAGUCUAAUUGAUUUGAUUCUUAAGCCAUUGGAAAGUUAAGAGACAUGGAUAAAACUUUCUUGUUUAUCACGUUUCCUAGUUCAGACCAGAUCAUGGUGAAAAUCACGUUCGAAAUUGAUAGACCAUUGUAGCACUAGGAGAACAAGGCUGCAGUGCUGGUGAAAAGAAGCACACAACACAUUUUCCCAAGAGCUCAAUGCUUCAGUGCUGAAGAAGUAACACCGCAACGUUGGAUGAUUUUCCAAAAAUAAAAAAUUUGACAGGAUUUUGGAAAUUAGGUUACUUGGAGCUUAUUUAAGGGACCUUUUUUAGAGAUUUUAAACAAGAUGCAGCAAGCAACUAUUCUGGAGAUUUGAAGCUAAGAACAAAGCAAGAAAACAAGAGAAUUUGAGAGAGAAUAGAGAUUGCAAAGCUUCAAUAAUUAGUUUCUUUCUCUACUUUUAUGUUUCUUUUAUUUUCUUUGACUUGGAUUCAUGGAUAAAUUUCUUUGGAUGUUGUUUUUAUUAGUUAUUAUGAGCUAAAUUAUCUUUCUAGGAUUGUGGAGGAUUUCAACAUGUAGUUUGAACAUUAGUUUCUCUUUUAUUUAUCAUGAAUGGGUCUAGUUUUGCUUAUUGAAAUAUGUUCUUAAUGCUUUUGAUUGCUUGGCCAACAAUUAACCAAUUUUUGAAUCUAUUUGGGACUUGAUAGAGAGAUUUUAGAUUGGAUUAAGGUUUGAACAGUGUAUGUUCACAUUACUUAGGUGAUCUGAUUCACGAUUCGAGUAGACAUACACCAAUUGCUAUACAUAGCCACAUUAGGACACUUGCUUAAUGAACUUAAUUUAAUUGAUUCCUAUAGACAUGUAGUAAACUAAUUAAGUUAGGUAUUUGUACAAGUAACUUGAUAGAGACUUGUCCAUAGCUUUGGAUUCUAGGUUAGUAAAACACCCAAGAAAGAUAAAUAACAAGAAAAGCUAGUCUCAGAUGAAAUGUUGAAUGAACCCAUAAUCCUAGGUCUUUAAUAUACUUCUUUUCUCAACUUAUUUAGUUUGUUAGUUAAUUUAAUGUUUAUUUAAAUUUUGUUUAAAUUAAUUUGUAAUAAGAUUUUAGUACUUAGUAAAAAUUGAGGAACAAAUCUUUGUUGCAACGAUACUCUACUUCAUCACUAUAUUACUUGUUCGAUAUGUAUACUUGCAUGUGCAAAAUCAACAACAUUAAGAAAUCCUUAGAUCGGCAUAUAGAUGACAUAUUUUGAAUAUCAAACUUAGUUUUAACCUUCAAAAGGAUUCAUUGACACUUUUGGUUAAUUGUCAAUUUAAAGGAAAAAAUUUUUUAAGUCUAGAACGGGUCAAAAUAUGUAAUUUAUAUAGAACAAUAUUUUGGAAACAAAAAUUGGCGGUAAUGAUUCCCUUGAUUUUUAGAUGAUCAAAAAUGAUUUUGCCAAAAUUUUUUUAGUACGUUUGCUAUGGCAAAUGGGAACCGCAAAUUUAAUUUUAGUCAAACUUUUUCAAUUUUGUUCUUGAAACCAAAAAUUAAAUUUUUAUUCUUUUGGAUUUUUUUUUUUUAUAUUUUUAUUGAAUCAAAAUGGGGGGUUGUUUGCUUAUUUACAUUGAAUAUCUUAAGUAAAUGGAGAGUAAAAAGUAAAAAUGACACCAUUUUUAUAAUUCUAAAGCUUAGUUUUUGGUUUUUAUGGAAAAAGAUGACAUUUUUAUCUUCAAAAUCUUUUGGUCUUGGAUUUCCAGAACUUAAAUAGUUGUUUUACUGCCCAUAAUUUUUGUUAGUGAUUAAAGCUUAAAGGUUUUCUAAUUUUCUGAGCAAUCUAAGUGCACUUAAGGUAAGGAGGAAAGAUUUAUCAGUUUCUAAGCAUGAGUUUUAGCUAGAAAAUUAGUUUAGCUUAAAGCGAGUAGUUUCAAAAGUGCCUAGAAUGAUUAUUACGAGAUUAUUAUUCUAGGAAAUGAUUGUGAUGAUUGUUGUAUGAUUGGAAUACUUGAAAACUCCAUGGAUUUUGCCGAAACGGAGUUGUGAUUGGAGCUAAGAAUCGAAUCUCCAACUAGGUGAGUGGAUACACCACUUUCAAAUUAUUUUGAUAUUAAAGCUAGCAUAAUUUCUAUGAAAAGGAUUAUGUAUGUAUGUUGAAAUGAUAUCACUGAAAUGGUUUAUCAAAGGAUUUGAGUUUCAAGAUUGAAACAAUGAUUUUCUAAGAAAAAUAAAUAAAUUCUUAGUGAUUGUGAUAUGAUUGAAACAAUGGUUUACAAAUUAUUUACAAAUCUACUAUGUAUGUAAAUAUUCUAUUAUGUAUUAGUUAUCAACAAAGGGGAACAUGCACCUUAUAUUUGAAGUCCACUUGAUUACUUCAGUCUUCGAACUAGUGUGGGUACAAGAUAUUGUAUACUUAUUUAUAGAUGUUAUAAUGUGCAUGUCUGGUAUGAUGAAUGCCAUAUGAUUAUGUAUAUAAGGUAAAUUCCAUAUACCAUAUGAGGUGACUAAGUGUACAUGAUAAAUACCAUGAGAUUAUGUAUAUGAUGUAUAUUCCAUAUACUACAUGAGAUUAUUGAGAAAGCGCGAUGAAUGCCAUGAGAUUAUGUAUAUGAUGCAUUUUCCAUAUACUUUAUGAGAUGAGUAAGCUUGUAUGUGACGGACAUUCCACAUUCCUAAUGCUACAAGUAUGAGAACUCUAUGAGUGUGAUUGAUUCCACUAUCAUGGGGCGCAAGUGAUGACUUCACUCCUAUGAUACAUCAUAAACGUCCAAGGUACAAUGGGACUAUACAUUGCCAACCCAAGGCUGAUAGGGGACAUACCAUCACAAAGUAUGAGUUUAAUGUUAAUGGAAUGAUUAUAAUUAUUAUGUUUAUGGCAUGUUGCAUAUUAAUGUUGUUUGAGUAUUGCUCAUGAUCUGUACUCUGUGAUGACAUGAAAAUGUGCUUAGUGUAGAAGACUGAGCCUUAGAGAAAGUCCCAAGAGGUGGGUGAACUUAAAGAAUGGUAAAAAUGGAGGAUUUUGCCUAAACUUUGGGUUUUAGGCUGAAAGUAUUGAUGCAUAUGGGUUAAGUAUCGAUACAUUCUAAAUAAAAUGCUUUUGGAGGCAUUUUUUGUGAAAUGUAUUGAUACAUUUUACUAAUUAUUAAGACUUCAUUCAAUGAAUCAAUGAAGUAUCGAGACUUCACUGUAACUCUCGAUAUCUCAUAAGUGUAGGAGAAAAGUAUCCAGACUUCAUAAUCAUGCCUCGAUACUUCUCACAGGGUAGCCAAACAUAAAAGCAUCUUUUAUUUUACAAUUAAUAGCAUGGCACCUAGACUCUCUUUGCUUGAUACUUCUUCUUAAAUGGCUAUGCCUAUUUGGAUUGAAAACAUGAGACUUGUAUUAAUUUGGAAUUUGAAUCUUUAAUGGAUAUUGAUUUUGAUAUUGGUUUGAAGAAAACCAACUUCAAUUUGGAAAUGUAUUUGAUUUAAUAAUUGAACUUUGGGUAUACGAAUAUGAUGGAUUAUAGACUUGGUUAAGGACUUAAAACUAUGUUCUAAGUCGAGAAACUAGGUUCUAGGGAAAAUGUAUGGAUACUUUUAAGAGAAUUAUCAAUAUUUGUUCUUCACAGAUUCCAGAAAUUGCAUUUUGGAUGAAAUGUAUCGAUACAUUGAGCUUGCAUUCUGUAACGACCCAUUCCUCGAUAGCCACCGACGUCUGAGUCUUGCGACAGAACCCGCCAAGUCCCAAACGGGCCUUAUUCGAAACUCUUGUUAAUACAUUAUAUUGAUUCCACCGAUCUAUGUAAUCUCUGUUAACCAUAUAACUCUUUGUAAUAUGAUUUGAACAAAAAGUCGUAAUAAAUCAACUUAACCUUUAUUCCUCAUAAUUGUAAAAAUACAUCAAGGUUUAUAAUCUCCAAAUGUACAUUCGUACUAACAUUAAUGACUAUUUUCAUAAACUAAUACACUAUGAUGAUUCGAGUUCUAGUAGUAGAGUGACUCGGAAUAAAGUGCUAUGAGAUGCCUUUACCUAUCCGCAGUGGACAACGAGUGCCGAUGAAUGCAUGCUAGGCUGAUCACAAUCUUCAAAAGGGGAGAUAAGGGGGUGAGUCUCACAGACUCAGAGAUCAUCUGUGAGACCUCAACCUCUAUAGGCUUGUAACUAAGUAUAGAUGUAAUAAUACGAGCUAGGGGUAGUUUCGUUAUUUUCUCUAAUAAGCUUCCAAAAGAAAGUUUUAUGAUAUUUUAAGGCUUCAAUGGGUAUAAGACUACGUAAAUGAUGUGUGCUGAUGAAAAUACGAAGAAAACUAAAAGUUUCAAAAAUUUUCAUAACAGGGGCAAAAUGGUCAUUUUUCACCUCGGGUUAAAAUUUUAAGUUUUUAUGAACCCGAACGUGUCUAGACCAUUAUGUAUCUUAUCCCAGUGUUAAAAGAGCAAAAAGAUUGCAUAAAAGGUUGGAGGAGAAUAAGUUAAUUAGUGGAGGGGUAUUUUCGUAAUUUUAAGGAAAAGGAUAAGAUUGGCUUAUAAAUACCUUGAAUUUCCAGCAGCUUGUCUUCUUCUUCUUCUCCUCUCUCACGUUUUUUCAAAACUCCAUGGAAGCUUGAUUUGAAGCUUGAAUGAUUUUCUCUCUCUAGCUCUAGUUUUCACACCUUUGAACCCUUUUGACUAGAACCUUUGAAUUCUUUCAUCCUCUCACUUUAAAACCCUUGAUAAAGCUUAUUUCCAGACUUUCUCUCACUAGUUGGGCAUUUUAGAGAGAGAAAGAGAGAAUUACCCUAUUGAUUUGGAAGUAAUUGGAAGAGAAUUGACUACAAAGGAGCCCUAGGGUAAGUGAUGAACUAAGCUCGAUUUUUAGCUGCAGAAAAUGGCUAGUAAUUGGUUUUUAUGAGCUGUUUUAUUGUUGAGUAUGUUCAUUACUUUUAGUGAUUAAGAUAGUGAACAUAGAUGGCCAUUUAAUGUGGCAAUUAAAAAUAAGCCAAGAGAUAGCUUUUAUAGUUCAUAGUGUGUAAAUUGAUCUAUUGUUUAUGUUAAUGUGAUCCUAGGUUUUAAGGAAGCCCCAUCAUCCCAUUUGGACAAUUAGGGGAAUUAGAGUCAUCUAAAGGCUCUACAAUCAUUUGGUGAGGGGACUGCCUUCAAAACUUAUUUUGGGAAUAUAAUGUAUUUGACAAAUGUUUGAAUGAUUUUAUAUGAUUUUUCAUGAAAAUGAAUGCCUUGGGAACAAGAUUUUGAGAAAUGAUUUAUGUUAUGAUAUGUGGUUAUUAUGGAUUUCUAUGUGGCUGCAUUAUAUUGAUAUACAUAUAUGCUUGAAUAUAAUGUUGUCUAAUUAUAUUGACUCCGCUAUGUGCGAGUAGGGAGUGCGCAUAAGUCGAGGAUGACUAGGUUAUGUGCGAGUAGGGAGUGCGCAUAACCCAGUGAUGACCCAGCCAUGUGCGAGUAGGGAGUGCGCAUGAGCUGGUGAUGAUGAUGAUGGGAUGGUGUGAUAAUGAUGAUGGGUAUAUGCGUAUAUAUAUAUAUACACAUAUGUAAAUAUGUGUGUUAUAAGAAAUUGAUGGAUAAUGGUUUAUAGUUGUAAUGCAUGUGAAACUUGACAUGUUAAACCUUGAGAAAUUGUUAUGUGUUUCAUAUUGGUUUUGAACAUUUCAAGCAGGGUGGUUUUCUUUGGGAGAAAGGGAAAUUUUCAUUUGAUGCCCUGUAUUUCGCUGCAGUGAGAAACUCUCGAGUUUUGAAAGGGUAGGCUAGCCGAAAACUCACUGCAGCGAGGAUGCAUUUUCGCUGCAUCGAGAAUGACACUGUAGCUUCUCGCUGCAGCAAAAUACAUUCUCGCUACAGCGAGAAACUUUCUGUUUCUGGGUAGCGAUUUCACUACAGCGAGAUUGAAUUUUGCUGCAACGAGAAACAUUCUAUUUCUGGGUUACAAUUUCGCUGUAGUGAAAAACUUUCUGUUUUGGUCUCCUAUCUUGUUCAAUUGUUAUCCUAUCUUUCACUUAUUUUCUACCAUAUCAGAGUAUGGACUUCCAACAUUAAGGAUUAAAUGAGUUAAGUUUAAAAUGAGGAGGUUUAGUGAGAAAUCCUUGUCCAAUUGAGAAACCCUCGUUCGGUUAAUAACUAAAUCCCAACGUCGCUGCAACGAAAAUUAAUUCUCGCUGCAGCUACACUGCAGCGAGAAUGCCUUUCCACUGCAGCAAAGAUUCGUUGUCGUAUUUGACUUGCUUGUGUAAUAUUGAAGUUUUCAUUCUUCAAAUGGUUUGUUAUGUAUGGGUCCUUGAUUUUCAAAUGAUUAAUCAUUUAAGGGCUUGAUGAGGGGUUUUUAAUAAGAAUAGAAACCAAUUGCAUUGUUUUGAAAAAGAAUGCAUCAUGAUUUCAUUAAAGAUUCCUUAUGGUAUGCUUGUUCCCUUCCUUGUUCACUCACUAGGUUUAUACUCACCAUUUUCAAAUUCAUGUUUUCAGAUCACGAGGCAGUCGGUAACUAGGACGAGGUGUCCUUAUAGACUUGUGUCCAUCUUUUGGUAGGUGUCUCGGCAUUUAGUAGCUGUACAUUCAUCCGAGUCCCUUCGCUGGAAAACGAGUGUUAUUUUGUUUUGUAUAGACAAACUUAAUGUAAAUUAUUAGAAUACAUGUUGUAGACAUUGUAUGUAAAUUUUUAAGGAGUAAUGCCAGUACGAGUUGGCAAUGUAUAUUACUAUUUUGAUUCAAAAGUAUGAAAUAUGACUUAGCGAUAUUUGAUGGAAUGAUGAGUAAGAUAAAUAGAUAGGCUUGCUUGGGCUUAAUAGACUACGUUUAUUGGGCCCUUGCGCCGGUCAUGGCCCAGAAAUUUGGGUCGUGACAUCAUCGGCUCCAUGAGCAAGGUGUAGAUGGGAAACAAGCUUAAAGCAGAUAAUUUGAAGGAUAAAACCAAAGUAUAAAAUGAUAACCUUAUAAAAACCAAAUAACAAGGUAUUUGUGCCUCGUAAAAAUAAUUCCGUAAAAAUCAUAAUGCAAUACUUUCCUUGGUAAACAAUGUCGAAAUCAAAAGUAAAAUAAAAUUUCAAUCAUUGAAAUCAUCUAUUUCUUUCAAAAGUACAAAUAGUCGUAUAAAACAUGCAUUCUCCCAAAGUGUGUGGCAUGUAAAAAUAAUCAUGUACAUCCACAUAUAUCAACUCAUGAUCAAUAUGUAAAGCACUAAAAACUUUCAAUUAAAAUAUGGGAGCUGCAAAAAACAAUAUUUCUCCAUCAUGCAAAAGAGUACGAGUCUAAAAACUCUCAAGGCUCUCGAAUAGGUAAUAGUAGUAAUCAACUCGUGGACCCACUUCCACAUAAUAACAUCUAGGAGGUCCCCUUUCACUGGAUUCCCACAACCAUGGUAGUCUCGACGAUGUUGGCCAACAUCGGAGAAAUCAUUUAGUCACAACCACGUAUAACGUAUAAUCACAAACCAUGGCCUAGCCACGUCUAACACCCCAUCGGCGACCCAAAAGGUUCUCUAGCUAGAGCUCACUUGUGCACAAGGGUCACACUAUCCUAAUGUGACAUUCAACCUACUCUCGAUGCUUUUAGUUUAUCAAAACUAUUUUCAAAACCAAAUCAAGGUUUCCAAGAGUUUUUCCAUAAAUCGUUUGAAAACAAGCUUCAGUAACCUUUCAAAAUUGCUUUUCACAUUAAAAUGCAUGGUGUAAAAUUUUCAUAAUGUUUGGACUAAAACCAUCUCUCAAGAAAUCAAAUUUAAGCCAUUUAUCAAGUGCAGUCAUCUAUGCACACCUCACAAAGAUUCAAGGCACUGUUUUGAUGCAAAGCAUUGCAAAAGGGCUUGUUUCCCAAUUUCUAAAACACUUUACAUAUAUGUACAUAUAUGUACAUAUAUGUAUAUAUAUAGUUUACACAAACAACUUUCAAAUCAAUUUGCAUCCACAAUUGCCUAUGUUUUCUACCAGCUCAUGCUUUCCACAAAAGCAGUGUAUAAAUCAUUGCAAACCAUGUAUUCAAAUUACUUAUCAUUUUCUAGCAACUCAUACUUUCCACAAAGGCAUUGGAUAAUAAUAUAUAUAUAUACUUUGAUAUAGUAAGAAUCUUUUAAAAAUGAAACCCCCUACUCACCUCUUUUGUCGGGAUAUUACUUCACCAAUUUAACUCUUUGUGUUCUUAAUCGAUCAAUAUCACUUGUCGUUUAACCGAUAUCCUUCUUAAUUUACACGCAUGGCAACAAUCCUUUACUUGUCAAUUUCCUGGCAGCAAUUAAAUCCAAGACACUUAGCAACUUUACAAUUUAUUCUAUGCCACACUUACUACCCACACUUAGCUUUAUGUUUUUAUAUCCCAUUUCAUCAUCAUUUUAAUAACCCAAAUCACGCUAAAAUCACCAUUCUUUCUCAACUAACCUUUGCAUACUUAUAUGCAUAUUGACAUAUUUUUACUAAUGGAACCCAUAUCCUUUACAUGCAUAAUUCUCUAUAUUACAUGUACCAGCAACUUAUUUAUAACAUUAAGUGCCCAUUUCAACCUUUCCAACCAACAUUCAUCAUAGUCCAUUUUAUAUUUUCAUUGCAUUAACCACAUAUAUGGCAGCAACAAUCAUUCCAAUCUUACUCAAUUAUUUCCAAGCUUACAUGCAUAAUUGUCUAUCUAACUUUCAAUGCUUUAUUUCUCAACCUUUCAUCCACAUUGUUCAUCUUUUUUUCUUUCAAACAACAUAGCAAGCAAUCUUAAAAUUUCUAACUAGCUCAUGCAUUUUUAGAUCUUUUCAACAAUCAUCAUUCUUCACAAUGUGUCUUCCAAGUUUUCAAUCAACACAACAAUAGCCAUUUUCUCAAAAUCUUCCAACUAUACUUAAAGCAUUAUUCAUUUUUACCUCUGAGGUUGCUUGAGCCUCACAUGCAUUCCAAUAUUCUUCCAAGUUUCAAUCAGCAAGCUGCCAACAUUAUUCAUAAAUUAUUUUCGUAGCAAUUUUACCAACCGUAGGCCUUAAAAUACAAUACCAUGCUUACCUUUUCUCUUUCACUUUGAAUUCAUCAUGCAUCCAAGAGUUUAAUGGCUUGCAUGUCACUAAAUCCUCUCCAAUCAAGCUUUUCUUUACUGCCACAAUACAUUUCUUAUGGUUACUAACCGAUUAUCAAAAUAUAAUCAAACCAAAACCUCAAUGCUUACCCUUGUUUCUCUUGAAACUUUGGAACCAAGCCUUCCUCUCUCCUCAAGCUCAACAAAUUAGUUCCUCUCUUGCAUGUUGAAGAUUCCUUUUUGGGUGAUGAGAUGAUAAACUCAACAGUGAAGAGUAAGGGACCCACAGUUUCCUUGAAUCUUCAUAACCCGAGCCUUCCCCACUUUCCUCUCUUUUCUUUCUCCUUUGUUUCUCUUUUCUUGCUCUCGGGUGGAGGUCUCUAAAAACACUUUCUUCUUUCUCUUCCUUUCUCAAUGGCUAGUUCUCUCAAGCUUCACCAAGGCCAAUUCACAUUUUUUUUACUCCUUGAAACUUGGUAUUUAUAUGGCCACCCAUUUAACCAAUCAAAUUGCAUGCACACGUUUGCCUUUUAUUUUUUAUUUGGCCAUUUUGCCAACCAAUAGGUUUUCAUGCACCAAUUUCCUUUCUCUCAUAAUGGUUAGUAAUCCUCUUUUACUACCCAUAUCCAUUCUUAAAUUUAUUUUCACUUAAUUCAAACCUUAUUUUGGCCCAAUGGUCUUUCAUGCAACUUUCCCACCUUAAUUUCCAUUUGGCCUCCUCCUUGGCCAAUGACAUUACAUGCAACUAUAUUUUCUCUUCUUUUAGUCUAAUUGUCACCAAGUGUCCAUCAUGCAUAAAUUUUCCAUGCAUUCUUUUAGCUUAAAAAUCCAGAUGCCUGUGUUAUCUUAUUCAUUUUGUCUUUUGCCUUUUUGUUUUUCACAUGGUGGGGUUCUCACAUGUUUCCCACUGCAAGUACAUCCUUGCAUGCAUAUCUUUUCAUGUAAUAGUAUUUGUUUACAUGCAUCUUCCAUCCUCCCACAUAAUCUAAUUUUCCUUGGUUAGUUAAUUUCCAUUUAACUUCAAAUGUUGAAAUUGCACAUAAGUCCUCAAACUUUUCCUUAUUUACCAUUUGACCAUCCAAACUUUUCAUCCUUUAUAAUUUGGUCCUUCAAACAUUUUGUAAACUACAAUUUGAUCCUUCAACUUGUUCAUAAUUAUAGCUUCACCACUUUACCUUUCAUUUUUUGUAAUUUCCACCCUUAACUUCUUAUGCUUUUCAAUUAGGUCCCCCCAUCACUCCUUUAAUUCCAAUUUUCUUUUAUUUUUCUUUCAUUACACUUGUACAAAUGAAAUAUCUAAUUGACACUUCACCAAGGUGUCACCAUAAUAUUUAAAUAUAUACUUACCCUUCCUUGCUUUAUUUAAUGAAGGCACGCGAGCCCCACUUAUGUCAUUUUUCUUCAAAAUUCUUUCUUACUUCUUCUCCCCCACUUAGAUUCGCCAUAUAGUCCUCCUUCAAGACUAAUUUCAACAAAGAUAAAAUAUUAAUAUUUUAAAUUUAUUUUAUUAAUAAAAUAUUAUUUUAGUCUAAAAUUCUCCACUUGUCUCUCGAGUUGCAAAGUGUCUCACUUUGUCCUUGUUCACUUCCAAGCCACCUUUUAACUCGCUAAUUCAUCCUCGAUUAAUUUACUAUUAUUUAAUUAUUAUUUUCUCGCGUGUAGAAUAUUUUAUUCCAAAAUAUUCCUUCCACCCGACACCGCUCUUCGGCACUUAAAUUUACGCCAAUUGGUCCUUCGUCUUAUUGAUAAGGUCCUAUUGACUCUUAUACGAGGGUACGGGGUGUUACACAUUCUGUUUUGAAAAGCAUCGAUACUCCUAUAGGAAAUAUCAACAACUAAGACUUAUUUUCUAAUUUUUUACAAUUUUUAAUCAGAUUUUAAAAUACAAAUGGUUUUAUCUUAACUGUUAAACUUUAUAAGCACUUUGUUUUUAAAGGUCAUGUUUAUUACUUUGUCUUACAUUGUGUAAAUAAAUGUUAUAAUUUGGAUUUGCCAGGAGGUGGCUUAUACUUUGAUAUUUGAAUAGCAUAUGCUUUCGCAUAUUUGAGCAUGAGAUGGUGUAAACAAAUAUUUCCUGAAAUUUGAUAAAUAUUAUAUAUGUUAAUUUAUGUGGUAAUGCAUCUCAAGAUCUAUAUUUGGAUAAUUGAAUUUGUUUUAUUUAAGGCUUGCUUGGGUUGAGUGGGAUCUUUCCCUUCAACCCUUGCAUCGGUCAUGGACCCCGAGGUUGGGUCUUGACAUCAUUAUAGCAUGAAGCUGCUCAAUUUGGCUCUAAUGCUAAUGUGAGGAAAAUGUUUAGAUUAAAAAAAAUUAUAGAAUAAUUACUUUAGUCAAACUUUUACUAGUUUUGUACCUUUUAAAAAAUAAUGUAGAGUGAGAUCAAGAUCUUGAUUCUUGGACAUCUUAGGAGCCUAUUGAUUUCCAAAACCCAUAAUGCAAAAUUGCUAUGAAAUCAAGUUGAAACCACACUUUUCAUUGUACAAGAACCUUAGCUACCAAUGGACAGUAGUUUUUCCUUAGGAGUGGGGAAUUUUCUACUUUUUGUAAUUUUCAACACACUCUUAGUGAAUUGUUGGUGUGACAUUUGGUGGGACACCCAAGCUUAUUUAUAAUCCUUUAAAGAUCAUCUAAUAACUCUCAUCAUGAUAAUCCUAUUAACAUUUUAUCAAAUGAUGUUAAUUUUGAUAUUUUUAAUUUAUCAAGAUAAAACGGUAAAACAUUAUCUUAAAUAGCUUAAUCCCAUGACCCUUAUAGGUGUUAUAUUGGUGUACGCCCUACAAGCCAAUCGGUUUUAUGCUUGUAAAAUACUGCAUUAAUUAAUUAUAUUUCAUGUCAAAUACAUUAUGGGUAUUUUAUAUAAUGUAUGAGUUAUUUCUUUAUCCAUGAGUUUAUUUAUAAAGAGUUAUGAAAGACUUAUCUAGAUAAAGUCCUUGGAACAUAAUGGUCUUGCAAAGAAAUUAUAAGGGUUAUAAUUAUAAGAUUCCUACGCAUCAAAGCCUUGUUCCUAAAUAUGUUCCUAAUCAUUGUAUUGUCAACAAUGAGGGCAUUGACAAUGCUUAAAGACUGGUAUUUGCUAAGCCUUCUUCCCUUGAAAGUAAGCAACCGAUCUCAUUGGUUGAAGUAUGUGAGAUACUUGGGGUUAGUAUGUAGGUGCUUGUUAAGGAACAAGUUCACUGAACAUGACCCACUAUGAGAGUUCCAUUUGAUAUUUCACUCAAGUAUCUGUGGAAAUACUCUCAUGUGUCAGUAGUGUAAGUAAUCCCUAGACUUGUGAUUUAGGUUAUCUUGUAUGUGAAUUGUCAUGCUUUGAUUUCAUCCCUACAGGUCUAGAGGUGACUAGAUGCCUAGACAUGGUGCUUUUGGGUAUGGCAUGAAGCAUUUGAAGAUGAACGAGUAGUCUAGGGAGGAUUCAUCACUCCAAGUGAUUUGAAGGGGACAUAUCUCACUUGUUCUUAGCUUAUAUUGACAAAAUCCUUCACUAAGGCGAUCUCGAUAGAUCUUGAUAGGUCAAUAUGAAGCUUUAGGACUAAUAUGGGAUGUCAUAAGUAGACACCAUGCCAUGCUUCAUGACAUAUGUGAAAUCCCACCUUGAGUAAGAGGA
Molecule: long non-coding RNA, 19491 nt
Filed under: Theobroma cacao (cacao)
Lineage: Eukaryota; Viridiplantae; Streptophyta; Magnoliopsida; Malvales; Malvaceae
Description: long non-coding RNA (TCAC_LNC001721)
Source: RNAcentral